RNAcentral lists this ribosomal RNA (288 nucleotides) under Klebsiella pneumoniae. Its description in RNAcentral is "partial 16S ribosomal RNA". It matches the Rfam family "Bacterial small subunit ribosomal RNA", at positions 61 to 347 of the family's 1533-position model. The record is from RNAcentral. Lineage: Bacteria; Pseudomonadati; Pseudomonadota; Gammaproteobacteria; Enterobacterales; Enterobacteriaceae.
GUCGAGCGGUAGCACAGAGAGCUUGCUCUCGGGUGACGAGCGGCGGACGGGUGAGUUAUGUCUGGGAAACUGCCUGAUGGAGGGGGAUAACUACUGGAAACGGUAGCUAAUACCGCAUAACGUCGCAAGACCAAAGUGGGGGACCUUCGGGCCGCAUGCCAUCAGAUGUGCCCAGAUGGGAUUAGCUAGUAGGUGGGGUAACGGCGCACCUAGGCGACGAUCCCUAGCUGGUCUGAGAGGAUGACCAGCCACACUGGAACUGAGACACGGUCCAGACUCCUACGGGAG